UACAGAGGUGGCAAGCGUUGUUCGGAAUUACUGGGCGUAAAGGGCGCGUAGGCGGUCUUGUAAGUCUUGUGUGAAAUCCCUCGGCUUAACUGAGGAACUGCACAGGAUACUGCGAGACUUGAGUUCGGGAGAGGGAAGCGGAAUUCCGGGUGUAGCGGUGAAAUGCGUAGAUAUCCGGAGGAACACCGGUGGCGAAGGCGGCUUCCUGGACCGACACUGACGCUGAGGCGCGAAAGCGUGGGGAGCAAACAGG
RNAcentral lists this ribosomal RNA (253 nucleotides) under uncultured bacterium. RNAcentral describes it as "partial 16S ribosomal RNA". It matches the Rfam family "Bacterial small subunit ribosomal RNA", at positions 524 to 776 of the family's 1533-position model. The record is from RNAcentral.